AGGGUUCGAUUCUGGCUCAGGAUGAACGCUGGCGGCGUGCUUAACACAUGCAAGUCGAACGGGAUCCAUCAGGCUUUGCUUGGUGGUGAGAGUGGCGAACGGGUGAGUAAUGCGUGACCGACCUGCCCCAUGCACCGGAAUAGCUCCUGGAAACGGGUGGUAAUGCCGGAUGCUCCAUCACACCGCAUGGUGUGUUGGGAAAGCCUUUGCGGCAUGGGAUGGGGUCGCGUCCUAUCAGCUUGAUGGCGGGGUAACGGCCCACCAUGGCUUCGACGGGUAGCCGGCCUGAGAGGGCGACCGGCCACAUUGGGACUGAGAUACGGCCCAGACUCCUACGGGAGGCAGCAGUGGGGAAUAUUGCACAAUGGGCGCAAGCCUGAUGCAGCGACGCCGCGUGAGGGAUGGAGGCCUUCGGGUUGUAAACCUCUUUUGUUAGGGAGCAAGGCACUUUGUGUUGAGUGUACCUUUCGAAUAAGCACCGGCUAACUACGUGCCAGCAGCCGCGGUAAUACGUAGGGUGCAAGCGUUAUCCGGAAUUAUUGGGCGUAAAGGGCUCGUAGGCGGUUCGUCGCGUCCGGUGUGAAAGUCCAUCGCUUAACGGUGGAUCCGCGCCGGGUACGGGCGGGCUUGAGUGCGGUAGGGGAGACUGGAAUUCCCGGUGUAACGGUGGAAUGUGUAGAUAUCGGGAAGAACACCAAUGGCGAAGGCAGGUCUCUGGGCCGUUACUGACGCUGAGGAGCGAAAGCGUGGGGAGCGAACAGGAUUAGAUACCCUGGUAGUCCACGCCGUAAACGGUGGAUGCUGGAUGUGGGGCCCGUUCCACGGGUUCCGUGUCGGAGCUAACG
RNAcentral lists this ribosomal RNA (845 nucleotides) under human gut metagenome. RNAcentral's name for it is "bacterial SSU rRNA". It matches the Rfam family "Bacterial small subunit ribosomal RNA", at positions 8 to 857 of the family's 1533-position model. The record is from RNAcentral.